This 565-nucleotide long non-coding RNA is filed under the name Panax ginseng (ginseng). RNAcentral describes it as "long non-coding RNA (PGIN_LNC001879)". Lineage: Eukaryota; Viridiplantae; Streptophyta; Magnoliopsida; Apiales; Araliaceae. The record is from RNAcentral.
AUUAAUUGGUAAAUGGUAAGAAUUAUAAUCUAAUGAUUAAAUAUUAUAUUUAAUGGCCUUUUACAAAAAUGCCCUUGGAAUUAUAUGUGAAAUGACCAAAAUACCCUUUUUGUCAUUUUAGUGUAUUAUUACUUACAUUGUUGAUGGGAUCUUGCAACAAGGAUGCCCAACAUGCUUACCCUACAUGCUAUCAACUAUCAAACAAGGGAAUCAUCCCACUUUAGCAUCCAAUGUAUUGAAAAAAAAAAUUAAAUUAAAGAAAAGGGAAAAUGCAUUAUUUAUGUCUUAUUGCUACCACUUGUCCACAAAAUCUAGCCACCUACCAUAUUCUAGAAUUUACUUAUGCUUCUAUGUCAUUACACCAUCAAUUAUCAGCCCUUACAUUGAUUGAUUCAAUCAAUUCUAUAAAUUAGGAAGAGAUUAAACUCAUUUGUACACUAAAAUUAUAGCAAACACCUAGCUUUACUCUCUCAAGCUCUUACCAACGAAAUUAUCUUGCCCAUAAGCUCCUAAUCAAAGCCCAGCCAAUAGUCAUGAUUAUACCAAUAAUCAUGUUGAUCAUUUC